This 73-nucleotide transfer RNA is filed under the name Stegodyphus mimosarum. It matches the Rfam family "tRNA". From Rfam's summary of the family: Transfer RNA (tRNA) molecules are approximately 80 nucleotides in length. Their secondary structure includes four short double-helical elements and three loops (D, anti-codon, and T loops). The record is from Rfam by way of RNAcentral. Lineage: Eukaryota; Metazoa; Arthropoda; Arachnida; Araneae; Eresidae.
GCCUCCGUGGUGUAGAAAUCAGCACACUCGACUCGUAUUCGAGAGGUCCGUGGUUCGAGUCCUGGCGAGAGCA